CUGCGGAUUGGGCGCCGCCGACGGGGCGGGUGCGGGUGCCUGUGUGGCCGGAAGCGGCCGGUGUCUGGGUGUGGCUGCGGCUAAGCAGGUAGCGCUCGGGGAGCGCGUGGAUGAGUGACCACGCCGAGCACGGCGGCGGCUCCGAAGUGGAGAGGUGGAAGGAUGUUUGACCCACUGGGACCGAGCAGUUACACAGAUCUCUGCUCCAGCUAACUCCAUCUUCAACACUGAACCAUGGACAGGAGUCUCCCAAACUGAUGGUCUCUGAGGUCAGCAUAGCCCAUGUCAGAAGAAAGCAUGACAUGUUUCAGGAAGAUUAAAGCCUACAGCAUUGCACUUGA
Long non-coding RNA from Numida meleagris (helmeted guineafowl), 341 nucleotides. RefSeq lists it as uncharacterized. The record is from RefSeq and is a predicted model, not a curated record. Lineage: Eukaryota; Metazoa; Chordata; Aves; Galliformes; Numididae. The transcript is spliced from 2 exons.